Molecule: ribosomal RNA, 465 nt
Filed under: uncultured bacterium
Lineage: Bacteria
Description: partial 16S ribosomal RNA
Rfam family: Bacterial small subunit ribosomal RNA
Source: RNAcentral
GACGAACGCUGGCGGCGUGCUUAACACAUGCAAGUCGAACGGAAAGGCCCCCUUGUGGGGUACUCGAGUGGCGAACGGGUGAGUAACACGCGAGUAACCUACCCUUGACUUUGGGAUAACUUCAGGAAACUGGGGCUAAUACCGGAUAGGAGCUCCUGCUGCAUGGUGGGGGUUGGAAAGUUUCGGCGGUUGGGGAUGGACUCGCGGCUUAUCAGCUUGUUGGUGGGGUAGUGGCUCACCAAGGCUUUGACGGGUAGCCGGCCUGAGAGGGUGACCGGCCACAUUGGGACUGAGGUACGGCCCAGACUCCUACGGGAGGCAGCAGUGGGGAAUAUUGCACAAUGGGCGGAAGCCUGAUGCAGCAACGCCGCGUGCGGGAUGACGGCCUUCGGGUUGUAAACCGCUUUCGCCUGUGACGAAGCGUGAGUGACGGUAAUGGGUAAAGAAGCACCGGCUAACUACGUG